GAGAGUAUAGCUCAGUGGUAGAGCAUGUGCUUAACAUGCAUGAGGUCCUGGGUUCAAUACCCAGUACUGCCA
Molecule: transfer RNA, 72 nt
Filed under: Camelus bactrianus (Bactrian camel)
Lineage: Eukaryota; Metazoa; Chordata; Mammalia; Artiodactyla; Camelidae
Also listed under: 1 other name
Rfam family: tRNA
About the family: Transfer RNA (tRNA) molecules are approximately 80 nucleotides in length.
Source: Rfam by way of RNAcentral